This 77-nucleotide transfer RNA is filed under the name Pseudolactococcus piscium. RNAcentral's name for it is "Lactococcus piscium tRNA-Arg". It matches the Rfam family "tRNA". From Rfam's summary of the family: Transfer RNA (tRNA) molecules are approximately 80 nucleotides in length. Lineage: Bacteria; Bacillati; Bacillota; Bacilli; Lactobacillales; Streptococcaceae. The record is from RNAcentral. RNAcentral also lists the same sequence under 4 other names.
GCACCCUUGGCUCAACUGGAUAGAGUACCUGACUACGAAUCAGGCGGUUGCAGGUUCGAAUCCUGCAGGGUGCAUCA